This 301-nucleotide ribosomal RNA is filed under the name uncultured bacterium. RNAcentral's name for it is "partial 16S ribosomal RNA". It matches the Rfam family "Bacterial small subunit ribosomal RNA", at positions 509 to 807 of the family's 1533-position model. The record is from RNAcentral.
CAGCAGCCACGGGAAUACGAAGGGGGCUAGCGUUGUUCGGAAUUACUGGGCGUAAAGGGCGCGUAGGCGGCCAUUCAAGUUAGAUGUGAAAGCCCUGGGCUCAACCUAGGAAUUGCAUUUGAUACUGUUUGGCUUGAGUUCGGGAGAGGUGAGUGGAAUUCCCAGUGUAGAGGUGAAAUUCGUAGAUAUUGGGAAGAACACCAGUGGCGAAGGCGGCUCACUGGACCGACACUGACGCUGAGGCGCGAAAGCGUGGGGAGCAAACAGGAUUAGAUACCCCUGUAGUCCCUGUCUCUUAUAC